GACGCUAAAGCUCGAAGGUGCGGGUAUCGAACAGGAUUAGAUACCCUGGUAGUCCGCACGGUAAACGAUGGAUGCCCGCUGUCGGCGACAGACUGUCGGCGGCCAAGCGAAAGCGUUAAGCAUCCCACCUGGGGAGUACGCCGGCAACGGUGAAACUCAAAGGAAUUGACGGGGGCCCGCACAAGCGGAGGAACAUGUGGUUUAAUUCGAUGAUACGCGAGGAACCUUACCCGGGCUUGAACUGCAGGAGAACGAUCCAGAGAUGGUGAGGCCCUUCGGGGCUCCUGUGGAGGUGCUGCAUGGUUGUCGUCAGCUCGUGCCGUGAGGUGUCGGCUUAAGUGCCAUAACGAGCGCAACCCCUUUCGCCAGUUGCCAUCAGGUGAUGCUGGGCACUCCGGCGACACUGCCACCGUAAGGUGUGAGGAAGGUGGGGAUGACGUCAAAUCAGCACGGCCCUUACGUCCGGGGCUACACACGUGUUACAAUGGGUGGUACAGAGAGUCAGCGGCCGGCAACGUCCGCUCAAUCAAGAAAGCCAUCCUCAGUUCGGAUUGGGGUCUGCAACCCGACCCCAUGAAGCUGGAUUCGCUAGUAAUCGCG
RNAcentral lists this ribosomal RNA (600 nucleotides) under uncultured bacterium. RNAcentral describes it as "bacterial SSU rRNA". It matches the Rfam family "Bacterial small subunit ribosomal RNA", at positions 742 to 1346 of the family's 1533-position model. The record is from RNAcentral.